UAAGAUUACCUUUACGGUCCAUGAAAAUAGAUUCCCUACUAACUAAAAUUAAGGUAAAACAACGACUAAAGCGCUCAAUUUCUGCAAAUAAAGGCUUGCAAAUCCAAAUCUAAUGGCCAAAGCUCCUAAAAUUUGAUGCUUGAUUUUUAAGAUAAUCGGAUCACCUCCUUUUGAUGAGCACCUAUGUUGUGGUUUGUGGACCAAUGAAAAGGUUAUUUUCUAAAAUUCAAGUGCCUUUGAUGUAAGUUGGCUGAAGUCAUAUAUGAAUAAACUCUGUUUUUCAAUAUGGACAAUCUUAUAAUUCUUUUCAGAUUAUAUUCUUGAGAAGAACCGAAAAAGAGGACUAUAUAAGAUUUGAUCAAAGAAAUCGCCGAACCGGUAUUGUGACUCAUAGUGUUUAGCUAUCGGUACAGUAUAGUAUGAGUCUGUAUCGUACCAUAUCGUGUUGAAACAUGGAGAGAGAGAAGGAGAGAGAGGGAG
RNAcentral lists this long non-coding RNA (480 nucleotides) under Phoenix dactylifera (date palm). RNAcentral's name for it is "long non-coding RNA (PDAC_LNC022507)". Lineage: Eukaryota; Viridiplantae; Streptophyta; Magnoliopsida; Arecales; Arecaceae. The record is from RNAcentral.